This 611-nucleotide long non-coding RNA is filed under the name Lathyrus oleraceus (garden pea). RNAcentral's name for it is "Pisum sativum (pea) long non-coding RNA (PSAT_LNC021442)". Lineage: Eukaryota; Viridiplantae; Streptophyta; Magnoliopsida; Fabales; Fabaceae. The record is from RNAcentral.
AGUUCUUUCUUUACACAAAUUUAGAGCCAUACAUAUGAAUGGGAACUUAUACACGUUUCUGUUCCAAAAUCAUGAUUAGGAAUAGGUAUGAUAUUUAAUUACAAAUUGCAAAACCAAGUUUUGACCAAAAGAAAAUGUCAUGCAACUUGAAUCCAUCCAACUAGAGAGAGUGUGUUGAACCAGGACCAUAGCUUUCAUUGAAUUAAAUUCAUGCUAAGUGUGCAAGUCACUUUAUCGUCAUCCUCCUCGCGCUCGCACCAAGACGACUUGUGCAUAACCUGUAAGAAAAACAAAGGACAUAUUCAGUAAAAAUCCUACAUUUUCAUGAUAAGUAGUAUACAUAGCCAUUUGGACUGUCAACCAAAGUCAAAAGAAAAGGAGUAAAUACCAGCUUAUAUCAAAACUCAUUUGAAACAACAAAGAGAUAUUGAAAAGUUGAAAAUCGUUUGUUAAUGCUAAUGGGGACCACCCAAGCUUGACAGAUAUGAAGACCUCACUACAGACAAAAAUAAACCAAUUCAAUCCUAACAGAUUGGCAAGAUUCACCAAAUCGCAGGGAGAUGAAAAUCUAACAGAAUGAUCCUAUAAUCCCUGCCAGCUCCUAAUCGAAA